RNAcentral lists this transfer RNA (88 nucleotides) under Psychromonas sp. RNAcentral's name for it is "tRNA-Ser". It matches the Rfam family "tRNA". Rfam says of the family: Transfer RNA (tRNA) molecules are approximately 80 nucleotides in length. Their secondary structure includes four short double-helical elements and three loops (D, anti-codon, and T loops). The record is from RNAcentral. RNAcentral also lists the same sequence under 1 other name. Lineage: Bacteria; Pseudomonadati; Pseudomonadota; Gammaproteobacteria; Alteromonadales; Psychromonadaceae.
GGUGACGUGUCCGAGUGGCUGAAGGAGCACGCCUGGAAAGCGUGUAAGGGGCAACCCUUCGAGAGUUCGAAUCUCUCCGUCACCGCCA